Molecule: transfer RNA, 63 nt
Filed under: Laotzeus sp. BMNH 846624
Lineage: Eukaryota; Metazoa; Arthropoda; Insecta; Coleoptera; Chrysomelidae
Description: tRNA-Asp
Source: RNAcentral
AAAAAUUUAGUUAACAUAUAACCUUAACUUGUCAAGUUAAAAUAACUAAUUUAGUAAUUUUUA